GACGAACGCUGGCGGCGUGCUUAACACAUGCAAGUCGAACGGAAAGGCCCGGCUUUUGUUGGUUGCUCGAGUGGCGAACGGGGGAGUAACACGUGAGUAACCUGCCCUUGACUUUGGGAUAACUUCAGGAAACUGGGGCGAAUACCGGAUAGAAUCUCCUGCUCCAUGGUGGUGGUUGGAAAGUUUCGGCUGUGGGGGAUGGAUUCGCUGGUUAUCAGCUAGUUGGUGGAGUAGGCGCUUACCAAGGCUUUGACGGGUAGCCGGCAUGGGAGGGUGACCGGGCACCUUGGGACUACGAGAGGGCGCAGACUGCUACGGGCGGCAGCAGGGGGGAAUAUUGCAGAAUGGGGCGACGCCUGAUGUAGCAACGCCGGGUGCGGGAUGACCGCCUUCGGGUUGUAAACAGCUUUGGCCUGUGACGAGGCGUGAGUGACGGUAACGGGUAAAGAAGCCCCGGCUAACUACGUG
This 468-nucleotide ribosomal RNA is filed under the name uncultured bacterium. Its description in RNAcentral is "partial 16S ribosomal RNA". It matches the Rfam family "Bacterial small subunit ribosomal RNA", at positions 28 to 507 of the family's 1533-position model. The record is from RNAcentral.